CUUCCUCUCACCACGCAGGCGUGUUAUCACCCCACAGCGUCACCAGAAGAAGGAUUGUAUUUGGCCUCAAGAGAAAUGUGUGCAGGAUUUAGAAGGUGGAAAUGAAGUGGCCAUUUUUAUGCUCAGAUGGCUAUUCAUACUUGAAGGACCAGCUGUGAAACACAUGGAGCUUUGACUCUAUACUAGUCUUGGAGGAAGCAAAUGGAAUGUACCAACCUGGGCUA
This is a long non-coding RNA of Leptonychotes weddellii (Weddell seal), 224 nucleotides long. RefSeq lists it as uncharacterized. NCBI's taxonomy places the organism in Eukaryota, Metazoa, Chordata, Mammalia, Carnivora, Phocidae. The record is from RefSeq and is a predicted model, not a curated record.